Molecule: ribosomal RNA, 2289 nt
Filed under: Triticum aestivum (bread wheat)
Lineage: Eukaryota; Viridiplantae; Streptophyta; Magnoliopsida; Poales; Poaceae
Description: partial small subunit ribosomal RNA
Source: RNAcentral
AUGAGCUCGUCGGCUUCCAGGAGGGAGGCGGCGAGGAGCGGGGAGCUCGGGCGGACGUGCGGAGCGGACGGCCCUCCCCCGAGGCCGGCCCCCAAGGCGCGGAGCGGGGAGCUGCUGCUGCCGCCCAAGGGCGGCGCCGAGGCGGCUGCGGCGGCGGCGGUGCGGCACGAGGGGUGGAUGGUGCGGUACGGGCGGCGGAAGAUCGGGAGGUCCUUCUUCCACACCCGCUACUUCGUGCUCGACAACAAGCUCCUCGCAUACUACAAGAAGCAGCCCAAGGACAACAACAUGGUGCCACUUAAGUCUCUUCUAGUAGAUGGGAACUGCAGAGUGGAGGAUAGAGGGCUUAAAACACAUCAUGGGCAAAUGGUUUACGUUCUGUGUGUCUACAACAAGAAAGAAAAGGACAAUCCAAUCACGAUGGGUGCACGUAAUAUCGAGGAGGCCCUAGUGUGGAAAAAGAAGAUAGAGCUCCUUAUCGAUCAGCAACAGGACACUAUGACAGCUAAAAACCGUAAAGCUUUUGCGUCACUGGACUUUGACAUGGAUCUUGGAGGACCGCUUUCAUUCUCUGACCCUGAUAGUGGACCUGAAGACGAAGAGGAACCCCGUCCCAUGCUGCUUCGUAGGACAACUAUAGGGAAGGGCCUUCCUGAUUCUGUACAUGACUGGACCAAAGAGCCUGAUAUUGGUCUGUCAAAUCAGAACGACACCAAUCAAGCUAAUUCUAGAAAGAACUGGCGGCUGCUUAGAUGCCAGAAUGGGUUGCGCAUCUUUGAAGAACCUGUGGAGGUCGAAUACCUUGCAAGAAGCUGUAGCCGAUCAAUGAGGGCUGUUGGUGUCGUGGAAGCCACAUGUGAAGCCAUUUUUGGGCUGAUAAUGAGUAUGGAUGUAACAAGAUAUGAGUGGGAUUGUAGCUUCCAGUAUGGGAGUUUAGUUGAAGAGGUUGAUGGUCACACUGCAAUACUAUAUCAUCGGCUACAGCUGAACUGGUGUUCAAUGGUUGUCUGGCCACGAGAUCUUUGUUAUGUACGAUAUUGGCGGCGCAAUGAUGAUGGAAGUUAUGUUGUGCUGUUUCGAUCUACUGAACACCCGAACUGUGGUCCCCAACCAGGAUUUGCGAGGGCUUCUAUUGAAAGUGGAGGUUUCAAGAUCACUCCUCUCAAAUCCGUGAAUGGAAGACCUCGCACUCAAGUUCAACACCUUAUGCAAAUUGAUCUCAAGGGAUGGGGUGUGAAUUACGUCACAUCAUUCCAGUACCACUCUGUGCUGCAGAUGCUGAACUGCGUUGCUGGAUUGCGUGAAUACUUUUCCCAAAAUGAUGACGUUCACACAAUUCCAAGGAUCCCUGUGAUGAAUACUAUGGCUAGUGUGCCCACUGUUAGAAAGGAUCAGAAACAUCAAAAGGCUGACUCAAAGACCAAACAAGCAGACUCGGCUAACGAAAAUUCGGAUAUGAUAGAUGAUGAGUCAGAAGAUGAUGAUGACUUUCAAGCUCCCGAAUCUAGCUUGGAGGAAGAUGGCAAUGUUGACAGUGACGCAAAGGGCUCUGAUCCAAUAGAUUUGUCCUGCUUUUCGGGCAUUAUUCGUCAGGAUGCAAAUGAGAAAAGCCGUAACAGUUGGUCGGUACCUGAUAGCAAUAUCUUCAAAGUCCGUAGCAAGAACUUUUCACAUGACAAAUCAAAGGUAUCUGCAGGGAAGUACCUUAUGGAGCUUGUCGCAGCUGACUGGUUUAAGGAUACCAAACGUAUGGAUCAUGUUGCCAAGCGUAAAGGAUGUGCUGCUCAGGUUGCUGCUGAGAAGGGGAUGUUCAGCUUUGUAGUAAACAUACAAAUUCCCGGGUCCACUCAUCACAGUCUGAUCCUCUACUUCGUCACAAAUUCCUUGAAAAAAGGAUCGCUCUUGCAGCGUUUUGCUGAUGGCGAUGAUGAUUUCCGGAACAGCAGACUGAAGCUUAUCCCAUCUGUUCCAAAGGGAUCCUGGAUAGUUCGACAAAGCGUUGGAAGUACCCCUUGCUUAUUGGGAAAGGCCGUUGAUUGCAGCUAUAUCCGCGGUCCGGAGUACAUUGAAGUUGAUGUAGACAUUGGAUCCUCAGCAGUAGCCAAUGGCGUUCUGGGAUUGGUCUUUGGUGUAGUUACCAGUUUGGUAGUCGAUAUGGCUUUUCUCAUACAGGCAAACACGUACGAUGAGCUCCCGGAGCAACUCAUAGGCGCCGCACGGUUCUCGCACAUCGAACCCUCCGCAGCAGUAGUUCCCGUGCUCGAUGACACUUCCUCAGCUGUGGAGUGA